This 289-nucleotide ribosomal RNA is filed under the name uncultured bacterium. RNAcentral describes it as "partial 16S ribosomal RNA". It matches the Rfam family "Bacterial small subunit ribosomal RNA", at positions 773 to 1060 of the family's 1533-position model. The record is from RNAcentral.
GUGGAUUAGAUACCCUGGUAGUCCACGCCCUAAACGAUGCGAACUGGAUGUUGGGUUCAAUUUGGAACUCAGUAUCGAAGCUAACGCGUUAAGUUCGCCGCCUGGGGAGUACGGUCGCAAGACUGAAACUCAAAGGAAUUGACGGGGGCCCGCACAAGCGGUGGAGUAUGUGGUUUAAUUCGAUGCAACGCGAAGAACCUUACCUGGUCUUGACAUGCACGGAACUUUCCAGAGAUGGAUUGGUGCCUUCGGGAACCGUGACACAGGUGCUGCACGGCUGUCGACAACU